CUACGGGAGGCAGCAGCAAGGAAUUUUGUGCAAUGGGCAAAACUGCACACAACRACGCCGCGUGGGGGAUGACGGCCUUCGGGUUGUAAACCCUUUUCUCAGGGAAGAAAAAUGACGGUACCUGAGGAAUAAGUCUCGGCUAACUACGUGCCAGCAGCCGCGGUAAUACGUAGGAGGCAAGCGUUAUCCGGAUUUACUGGGCGUAAAGCGGGCGUAGGCGGUCUUUCAAGUCGAAUGUAAAAUCUCCUGGCUCAACUGGGAGGGACCAUUCGGUACUGUUGGACUGGAGGACAGGAGAGGGAGGUAGAAUUCCCGGUGUAGUGGUGAAAUGCGUAGAUAUCGGGAGGAAUACCAGUGGCGAAGGCGGCCUCCUAGGCUGUUUCUGACGCUGAGGCCCAAAAGCGUGGGGAGCAAACAGGAUUAGAUACCCUGGUAGUCCACGCUGUAAGCAAUGGACACUAGGUAUGGGGAGUAUCGACCCUCUCUGUGCCGAAGCUAACGCAUUAAGUGUCCCGCCUGGGGACUACGGCUGCAAGGCUAAAACUCAAAUGAAUUGACGG
This 560-nucleotide ribosomal RNA is filed under the name uncultured bacterium. RNAcentral's name for it is "bacterial SSU rRNA". It matches the Rfam family "Bacterial small subunit ribosomal RNA", at positions 339 to 916 of the family's 1533-position model. The record is from RNAcentral.